This 440-nucleotide ribosomal RNA is filed under the name uncultured bacterium. RNAcentral's name for it is "bacterial SSU rRNA". It matches the Rfam family "Bacterial small subunit ribosomal RNA", at positions 29 to 458 of the family's 1533-position model. The record is from RNAcentral.
AGCGAACGUUAGCGGCGCGCCUAACACAUGCAAGUCGCACGAGAAAGGGAGCAAUCCCCGGUACAGUGGCGCACGGGUGAGUAACACGUAGAUGACCUUCCCUGGAGUGGUGGAUAACCUGCCGAAAGGCGGGCUAAUACAGCAUGGGACCACAUGGUUUUGACCGAGUGGUGAAAGCGGGCCUCUGUUCACAAGCUCGCGCUCUGGGAUGGGUCUGCGUCCCAUCAGCUAGUUGGUGAGGUAAUGGCUCACCAAGGCAUCGACGGGUAGCUGGUCUGAGAGGAUGACCAGCCACACUGGAACUGAGACACGGUCCAGACUCCUACGGGAGGCAGCAGUGGGGAAUCUCGCGCAAUGGGCGAAAGCCUGACGCAGCGACGCCGCGUGGGUGAUGAAGGCCUCGGUUGUAAGACCUCGUGGGAGGACGGAACCGUACGGGG